RNAcentral lists this ribosomal RNA (459 nucleotides) under Niveibacterium sp. RNAcentral's name for it is "bacterial SSU rRNA". It matches the Rfam family "Bacterial small subunit ribosomal RNA", at positions 395 to 845 of the family's 1533-position model. The record is from RNAcentral. Lineage: Bacteria; Pseudomonadati; Pseudomonadota; Betaproteobacteria; Rhodocyclales; Rhodocyclaceae.
UGCCGCGUGAGUGAAGAAGGCCUUCGGGUUGUAAAGCUCUUUCAGACGGAAAGAAAUCGGAUGGGUUAAUAGCCCAUCUGGAUGACGGUACCGUAAGAAGAAGCACCGGCUAACUACGUGCCAGCAGCCGCGGUAAUACGUAGGGUGCGAGCGUUAAUCGGAAUUACUGGGCGUAAAGCGUGCGCAGGCGGUUUUGUAAGACAGCUGUGAAAUCCCCGGGCUCAACCUGGGAACUGCGGUUGUGACUGCAAGACUUGAGUACGGCAGAGGGGGGUGGAAUUCCUGGUGUAGCAGUGAAAUGCGUAGAUAUCAGGAGGAACACCGAUGGCGAAGGCAGCCCCCUGGGCCUGUACUGACGCUCAUGCACGAAAGCGUGGGGAGCAAACAGGAUUAGAUACCCUGGUAGUCCACGCCCUAAACGAUGUCGACUAGUUGUUCGGAGGGUAAAACCUCUGAGUA